GAUGAACGCUAGCGGCAGGCUUAACACAUGCAAGUCGAGGGGUAUAGUUCUUCGGAACUAGAGACCGGCGCACGGGUGCGUAACGCGUAUGCAAUCUACCUUUCACAGAGGGAUAGCCCAGAGAAAUUUGGAUUAAUACCUCAUAGUAUAAUUGAAUGGCAUCAUUUAAUUAUUAAAGUCACAACGGUGAAAGAUGAGCAUGCGUCCCAUUCGCUAGAUGGUAAGGUAACGGCUUACCAUGGCGACGAUUGGUAGGGGUCCUGAGAGGGAGAUCCCCCACACUGGUACUGAGACACGGACCAGACUCCUACGGGAGGCAGCAGUGAGGAAUAUUGGUCAAUGGGCGCAAGCCUGAACCAGCCAUGCCGCGUGCAGGAUGACGGUCCUAUGGAUUGUAAACUGCUUUGUACAGGAAGAAACACUGGUUCGUGAACCAGCUUGACGGUACUGUAAGAAUAAGGAUCGGCUAACUCCGUGCCAGCAGCCGGGGUAAUACGGGAGGAUCCAAGCGGUUAUCCGGAAUCAUUUGGGUUUAAAGGGGUCCGUAGGCGGUCAGAUAAGUCAGUGGUGAAAGCCCAUCGCUCAACGGUGGAACGGCCAUUGAUACUGUCUGACUUGAAUUAUUAGGAAGUAACUAGAAUAUGUAGUGUAGCGGUGAAAUGCUUAGAGAUUACAUGGAAUACCAAUUGCGAAGGCAGGUUACUACUAAUGGAUUGACGCUGAUGGACGAAAUCGUGGGUAGCGAACAGGAUUAGAUACCCUGGUAGUCCACGCCGUAAACGAUGGAUACUAGCUGUUGGGAGCAAUCUCAGUGGCUAAGCGAAAGUGAUAAGUAUCCCACCUGGGGAGUACGUUCGCAAGAAUGAAACUCAAAGGAAUUGACGGGGGCCCGCACAAGCGGUGGAGCAUGUGGUUUAAUUCCGAUGAUACGCGAGGAACCUUACCAAGGCUUAAAUGUAGAUUGACCGGUUUGGAAACAGGUCUUUGGCAAGACAAUUUACAAGGUGCUGCAUGGUUGUCGUCAGCUCGUGCCGUGAGGUGUCAGGUUAAGUCCUAUAACGAGCGCAACCCCUGUUGUUAGUUGCCAGCGAGUCAUGUCGGGAACUCUAACGAGACUGCCAGUGCAAACUGUGAGGAAGGUGGGGAUGACGUCAAAUCAUCACGGCCCUUACGCCUUGGGCUACACACGUGCUACAAUGGCCGGUACAGAGAGCAGCCACUGGGUGACCAGGAGCGAAUCUAUAAAACCGGUCACAGUUCGGAUCGGAGUCUGCAACUCGACUCCGUGAAGCUGGAAUCGCUAGUAAUCGGAUAUCAGCCAUGAUCCGGUGAAUACGUUCCCGGGCCUUGUACACACCGCCCGUCAAGCCAUGGAAGCUGGGGGUGCCUGAAGUCGGUGACCGCAAGGAGCUGCCUAGGGUAAAACUGGUAACUAGGGC
RNAcentral lists this ribosomal RNA (1439 nucleotides) under uncultured Bacteroidota bacterium. Its description in RNAcentral is "uncultured Bacteroidetes bacterium 16S ribosomal RNA". It matches the Rfam family "Bacterial small subunit ribosomal RNA". Lineage: Bacteria; Pseudomonadati; Bacteroidota. The record is from RNAcentral.